AGUGAACGCUGGCGGUAGGCCUAACACAUGCAAGUCGAACGGCAGCACAGUAAGAGCUUGCUCUUACGGGUGGCGAGUGGCGGACGGGUGAGGAAUACAGCGGAAUCUACUUUUUCGUGGGGGAUAACGUAGGGAAACUUACGCUAAUACCGCAUACGACCUACGGGUGAAAGCAGGGGAUCUUCGGACCUUGCGCGAUUGAAUGAGCCGAUGUCGGAUUAGCUAGUUGGCGGGGUAAAGGCCCACCAAGGCGACGAUCCGUAGCUGGUCUGAGGGGAGGAUCAGCCACACUGGAACUGAGACACGGUCCAGACUCCUACGGGAGGCAGCAGUGGGGAAUAUUGGACAAUGGGCGCAAGCCUGAUCCAGCCAUACCGCGUGGGUGAAGAAGGCCUUCGGGUUGUAAAGCCCUUUUGUUGGGAAAGAAAAGCAGCAGGUUAAUACCCCGCUGUUCUGACGGUACCCAAAGAAUAAGCACCGGCUAACUUCGUG
RNAcentral lists this ribosomal RNA (492 nucleotides) under uncultured bacterium. RNAcentral describes it as "partial 16S ribosomal RNA". It matches the Rfam family "Bacterial small subunit ribosomal RNA", at positions 29 to 507 of the family's 1533-position model. The record is from RNAcentral.